AACGUAGGACGCAAGCGUUAUCCGGAGUUACUGGGCGUAAAGGGCGUGUAGGCGGCGUCUCAAGUUCGUCGUGAUAGACCCCGGCUCAACCGGGGGUGGUCGAGGGAGACUGAGGCGCUGGAGGACGGUAGAGGGACAGGGAAUUCCGGGUGUAGUGGUGAAAUGCGUAGAGAUCCGGAGGAACACCAGUGGCGAAGGCGCUGUCCUGGGCCGCACCUGACGCUGAGACGCGACAGCAUGGGGAGCGAACGG
Molecule: ribosomal RNA, 252 nt
Filed under: uncultured prokaryote
Description: partial 16S ribosomal RNA
Rfam family: Bacterial small subunit ribosomal RNA
Source: RNAcentral